AUGAACGCUGGCGGCGUGCCUAAUACAUGCAAGUCGAGCGAACAGACGAGGAGCUUGCUCCUCUGACGUUAGCGGCGGACGGGUGAGUAACACGUGGAUAACCUACCUAUAAGACUGGGAUAACUUCGGGAAACCGGAGCUAAUACCGGAUAAUAUAUUGAACCGCAUGGUUCAAUAGUGAAAGACGGUUUUGCUUUCACUUAUAGAUGGAUCCGCGCCGCAUUAGCUAGUUGGUAAGGUAACGGCUUACCAAGGCAACGAUGCGUAGCCGACCUGAGAGGGUGAUCGGCCACACUGGAACUGAGACACGGUCCAGACUCCUACGGGAGGCAGCAGUAGGGAAUCUUCCGCAAUGGGCGAAAGCCUGACGGAGCAACGCCGCGUGAGUGAUGAAGGUCUUCGGAUCGUAAAACUCUGUUAUUAGGGAAGAACAAAUGUGUAAGUAACUAUGUACGUCUUGACGGUACCUAAUCAGAAAGCCACGGCUAACUACGUG
RNAcentral lists this ribosomal RNA (496 nucleotides) under uncultured bacterium. RNAcentral describes it as "partial 16S ribosomal RNA". It matches the Rfam family "Bacterial small subunit ribosomal RNA", at positions 29 to 507 of the family's 1533-position model. The record is from RNAcentral.